CCUACGGGUGGCAGCAGUGAGGAAUAUUGGUCAAUGGCCGGGAGGCUGAACCAGCCAAGUCGCGUGAGGGAAGACGGCCCUACGGGUUGUAAACCUCUUUUGUCAGGGAGCAAGGUGAAGGUCGGGACCUGCUGUGAGAGUACCUGAAGAAAAAGCAUCGGCUAACUCCGUGCCAGCAGCCGCGGUAAUACGGGGGAUGCGAGCGUUAUCCGGAUUCAUUGGGGGAAAAGGGUGCGCAGGCGGAGGCACAAGUCAGCGGUAAAAUCGCGGGGCUCAACCCCGCUCCGCCGUUGAAACUGUGUGCCUUGAGUGCGCGAAGGGUAGGCGGAAUGCGUGGUGUAGCGGUGAAAUGCAUAGAUAUCACGCAGAACUCCGAUGGCGAAGGCAGCCUACCGGCGCGCAACUGACGCUCAUGCACGAAAGCGUGGGUAUCGAACAGGAUUAGAUACCCUAGUAGUC
This 459-nucleotide ribosomal RNA is filed under the name uncultured bacterium. Its description in RNAcentral is "partial 16S ribosomal RNA". It matches the Rfam family "Bacterial small subunit ribosomal RNA", at positions 338 to 795 of the family's 1533-position model. The record is from RNAcentral.